GGAUCACGGUUCGAUUCCGGAGAGGGAGCCUGAGAAACGGCUACCACAUCCAAGGAAGGCAGCAGGCGCGCAAAUUACCCAAUCCAAACACUGGGAGGUAGUGACGAGAAAUACUGGGGACGCUCCUAGAGAACGUCGUCCGGAAUGAACGUAACAUAAAAAAUUCGAUGAGGAUCUACUGGAGGGCAAGUCUGGUGCCAGCAGCCGCGGUAAUUCCAGCUCCAGUAGUGUAUAUCAACAUUGUUGCGCUUAAAACGCUCGUAGUUGGAUUACAGGACUGCAAACACGGUCGCAUCGCGCGAGAGUGGUCUCAGCACGCCUAUCGACAGCCCAACUGGGGGUCUGGUCCUGCCGGGACGUCAGUGGGUGCCUGUUGGCAGGUAGCUGGACGCGGUCCUUUUGUCGCACUGGUCCCAGGAGGCUCCUUUAAUGGCGUCAAAUGGACACCGGUGGAGUGUGCCUUGAAUAAAGCAUAGUGCUCAAUGCAAGCGUACGCUCGUGUGUAAUAGCAUGGAACGAAUAUUUUUGACCGGUUGCUGGGCGGUUUAACUAUCGUCAGCAACUAGGUUCGAUCAGUGUUGGUUGGAGCCACGGUCUCAACGGUUAAAAGGGACAUCUGAGGGCACUAGUACUUUGUGGCGAGAGGUGAAAUUCUGAGACCCAUAAAAGACUGACUAUUGCGAAAGCAUUUGCCAAGAGUGUUUUCAUUAAUCAAGAACGAAGGUCAGAGGAUCGAAGACGAUCAGAUACCGUCCUAGUUUUGACAGAAAACAAUGCCAGCAUAGGGUCGCGGCGGUCACUUGCCGUUGAUAGCGAGUUGCACUACCGCGGUCCUUAGGGGAAACUUAGCUUUCGGGCUGCUGGGAGAAUAUUGCUGCAAGGCUGAAAUUUAAAGAAAUUGACGGAGAGGCACCACCAGGAGUGGAGCCUGCGGCUUAAUUUGACUCAACACGGGGAAACUCACCAGGUCCAGACAUUGGUAGGAUUGACAGAUUGGUAGGUCUUUCAUGAUUCGGUGAAUGGUGGUGCAUGGCCGUUCUUAGUUGGUGGAGUGAUCUGUCAGGUUUAUUCCGAUAACGAUCGAGACCACGGCCUUUAGUUGGUGGUUAGAUGCGGCACAGCUGUCUGCUGGCAGUUUGUGUGGUGUCUUUUGGCCUAACAAGAGGGACCAUCGGUGAAAAGCCGGAGGAAGCGUGGCAAUAACAGGUCUGUGAUGCCCUUCGAUGUCCUGGGCUGCACGCGCGCUACAAUGGCAGCAGUAGAGAGCAGGCUGGCCAGAGAUGGUCGGCAAAGCUGUAAAUAGCUGUCGUGACAGGGAUUGAGCCUUGCAAUUAUUGCUCAUGAAAGAGGAAUUCCUCGUAAGCACGAGUCAUCAACUUGUGUUGAAUACGUCUCUGCCUCUUGUACACACCGCCCGUCGCUACUACCGAUUGAAUUGUUUCUAAAGCUGGCUGGACCGGACUGUUGCCGUUACUUGUAGCGGUGAUAGCUGG
This 1493-nucleotide ribosomal RNA is filed under the name Ceratomyxa thalassomae. RNAcentral's name for it is "bacterial SSU rRNA". It matches the Rfam family "Eukaryotic small subunit ribosomal RNA", at positions 367 to 1750 of the family's 1831-position model. The record is from RNAcentral. Lineage: Eukaryota; Metazoa; Cnidaria; Myxozoa; Bivalvulida; Ceratomyxidae.